ACCAUUCCAGACCUGCAGCAGCCACGUCCACUGUGUGGGGAUCCAAGUCCCAGAAUGUCAGCUGCCUGUCCUUGGGAACAGAGAGGCACAGAUGCGGGAGCGUGCAGAGGACGGCCACCAGCAGUCAGGAAGGGCAGCCGGCGGCCCUUCUGACCCUCCCUCCACCCGUGCCACUGGAUCAGCCCGCUCAUCAGAGCUUGGCGACGGGAGCCUCGUGGAGCCUCGGGGUGGGGGUCUGAGAUAGCAUCUCCAGGUUCCCUGCGUCUCCCUGGCAACCAGUGGCGCUGGGCACUGGGUCUCUCGUCACGGGCAGAGAGUUUAGGUUCGCAGAGGAUCCAGUGGAAAGCCCAGAGGCUCCUGCGUGCACCCUUUCCCGCAGAGCACAGCCCACGCCGGAGCAGCCUGCUGCUCACAAGUGAUGGACCAAGUCCAGCCUGCGGUUCACAUUAGGAACGGUUGGGAUUGUGACUGGAAUCACACGGGCCUCUGGAGAAAGCUGGGAAGAACUGAUGUCUGGAAGCAUGGAGUCGUCCUGUCCGUGGACCCGUGUUACGGUCUGGAGCUCAGGAGUCUCCCAAAAGCUCACGUGUGCGGCAGUGCGGGAAAGUUCAAAGAAAAAGUUUGGGUCUUUUUCCAGUGGAGUGGAAUCCUUCAGGAUGUCCAACAGUUCUGUCUCCAAGCGAGCUGGCUCAUCCCACCACCUUCAACGUUUCUCGGUGCCGGUUGCUCUGAUUGCUGUGGACCCAACCUUCCCCUCCCAACUACCCAUGUGGCAAUCAGACCUUCAAACAGGCUUGUCCUCUACCCUGUGGGAGGGCUGCUGUCACCCUUUAAAGGCACCCUUUGACCUGGGAUGUUGGCACACGAUGUGUUUUGGCAAAAGCCCCUUGUCUGGGCUCACAGCCCAUUGAG
This is a long non-coding RNA of Sciurus carolinensis (gray squirrel), 912 nucleotides long. RefSeq lists it as uncharacterized. The record is from RefSeq and is a predicted model, not a curated record. Lineage: Eukaryota; Metazoa; Chordata; Mammalia; Rodentia; Sciuridae. The transcript has 4 exons.